AUUAGCGGCAGCUAGUUCUAUGCAACUCUAACAUGGUCGCCCACUGAAGCUAAGCAGGGCUGCACCCGGUCAGUACCUGGAUGGGAGACCAAAUGGGAAAGCUAGAUUGCUGCCAGAA
Ribosomal RNA from Danio rerio (zebrafish), 118 nucleotides. Lineage: Eukaryota; Metazoa; Chordata; Actinopteri; Cypriniformes; Danionidae. The record is from Ensembl.